GACGAACGCUGGCGGCGUGCUUAACACAUGCAAGUCGAACGAAGAGCGAUGGAAGCUUGCUUCUAUCAAUCUUAGUGGCGAACGGGUGAGUAACGCGUAAUCAACCUGCCCUUCAGAGGGGGACAACAGUUGGAAACGACUGCUAAUACCGCAUACGAUCUAAACUCGGCAUCGAGGAUAGAUGAAAGGUGGCCUCUACAUGUAAGCUAUCACUGAAGGAGGGGAUUGCGUCUGAUUAGCUAGUUGGAGGGGUAACGGCCCACCAAGGCGAUGAUCAGUAGCCGGUCUGAGAGGAUGAACGGCCACAUUGGGACUGAGACACGGCCCAGACUCCUACGGGAGGCAGCAGUGGGGAAUCUUCCGCAAUGGACGAAAGUCUGACGGAGCAACGCCGCGUGAGUGAUGACGGCCUUCGGGUUGUAAAGCUCUGUUAAUCGGGACGAAAGGCCUUCUUGCGAAU
This 460-nucleotide ribosomal RNA is filed under the name Veillonella parvula. RNAcentral describes it as "bacterial SSU rRNA". It matches the Rfam family "Bacterial small subunit ribosomal RNA", at positions 28 to 465 of the family's 1533-position model. The record is from RNAcentral. Lineage: Bacteria; Bacillati; Bacillota; Negativicutes; Veillonellales; Veillonellaceae.